AUGGAGAUAGGGAUUUUCAGGUCUUGCUGGAUCACUUCUUGAGAAUAAAAGUUUACAAUCGUUACAUCUCAAUGGCAACUAUGGUGGUGCGUUAGGGGCUGCAGCUUUGGCUAAAGGCCUGGAGGGCAAUAAAUCUUUGAGGGAACUUUAUUUGCAAGGGAACUCUAUUGGUGAUGAAGGAGUACGGGCAUUAAUUUCUGGCCUAUCUUCUCGUAAAGGGAAACUUGUCUUACUUGACAUGGCCAACAACUCAAUUACUGCUAGAGGUGCAUUUCACGUAGCAGAAUAUGCCAAAAAAAGCAAAAGCUUACUAUGGUUGAACCUCUAUAUGAAUGACAUCAAAGAUGAGGGAGCUGAAAAAAUU
Molecule: non-coding RNA, 364 nt
Organism: Nicotiana tabacum (common tobacco)
Lineage: Eukaryota; Viridiplantae; Streptophyta; Magnoliopsida; Solanales; Solanaceae
Source: RefSeq, a predicted model, not a curated record